CUCGACCAAUCGGCUGCUCGGAGAAGAUCUUCCAAUUUGCAGCCUAAUGAAAACGCUUUUGAUGCCAUCGCACCCCUCACUGAAUGUGCUCCGUAUGUGGAAGUAUCAAUGCCUGCUGACGUCAUGAUACAUUUGACCCAGCGAGAUAGGGUGACUGUAGAAACCGGACGAUGCGGUUGUCGAACGGCCAGGAAUAGGUCCGCACGUUGAGG
This is a non-coding RNA of Pelobates cultripes (western spadefoot toad), 212 nucleotides long. The record is from the annotation of a GenBank genome assembly. Lineage: Eukaryota; Metazoa; Chordata; Amphibia; Anura; Pelobatidae.